AAGAUGUUAGUAAAAUAUUACAAGACCUUGUCAUGGACUAAUUGCUGGUUAACCCAACACAUCUUAU
This 67-nucleotide transfer RNA is filed under the name Oedipina tomasi. RNAcentral's name for it is "tRNA-Asp". Lineage: Eukaryota; Metazoa; Chordata; Amphibia; Caudata; Plethodontidae. The record is from RNAcentral.